CCUAAGCCCCUUUUCUUGAAACGUUGCAGCGCUUUCACCCAUCAGCCACGCGACUCAACAUCUAUGCGUCUCCUUACAUAGCGCAUCUCUUUGGUCGGUGAUGUGCCAUCUUCUCCGAUUGGCAACUUCUCUGCUUCUCCAUAUCAGAUUUGUUUUCUCUCCACGGGGGAAUAAGUGGUAGACAAGGUUUUGUCGCUCUACAAGUCAGUCUCGAAGAAAAGAAAGCCUCAGGGUCACGAAGUUACUGUCUUAGCUGCAUUUCUCGUCUCCUCUCCUUCUCAAGACGUGGAAGUUAUUUCACUGGGAACCAGCAAGAAAUGUAUUGGGCAAUCCCUCUUGAGCGCCUGCGGUGAUGUUGUCAACGAUUCUCAUGCCGAAAUUGUUGCUCAAAGAGCUUUGUUAAGGGUUUUUUUAAAAACUAUUUUAUUUUAAUUUCUACUUAUGUUUUUGUUGCUUCUGUGAAGAAUUCCCAUUUGAUGGAAAGAAGAUCAAAUGGGAAUGUUGUAUUUAUGUUAAUUUCUUGGUAGUC
Molecule: long non-coding RNA, 529 nt
Organism: Ziziphus jujuba (common jujube)
Lineage: Eukaryota; Viridiplantae; Streptophyta; Magnoliopsida; Rosales; Rhamnaceae
Exons: 3
Source: RefSeq, a predicted model, not a curated record